CCCUUAGAUGUUCUGGACCGCACGCGUGCUACACUGAUGCAUUCAACGAGUCUAAAACCUGGUCUGAUAGGGCUGGGUAAUCUUUUGAAAGUGCAUCGUGAUUGGGAUAGAUGAUUGCAAUUCUUCAUCUUCAACGAGGAAUGCCUAGUAAACGCAAGUCAUCAGCUUGCAUUGAUUACGUCCCUGCCCUUUGUACACACCGCCCGUCGCUCCUACCGAUUGAAUGAUCCGAUGAAUACCAUGGAUUGAGAGUACGAAUAGGUUCGCUUAUUUCUGCUGCUCGAGAAGUGGAGUAAAUCUUAUCAUUUAGAGGAAGGAGAAGUCGUAACA
This 330-nucleotide ribosomal RNA is filed under the name uncultured eukaryote. RNAcentral describes it as "partial 18S ribosomal RNA". It matches the Rfam family "Eukaryotic small subunit ribosomal RNA", at positions 1470 to 1796 of the family's 1831-position model. The record is from RNAcentral.